UGUAUAGCGAAAGCUAGUUGUGUUUAACUUAGUUAAAACUAAGUAGGCGCAAUAUUGACUAUGUCGAAUAAAGUUCUAGGUAGAAUUAUGAUUAUGACAUUGUCUAUCUAUGUGUCUUGACCAAAUUACGUGCCAGCAGUCGCGGUAACACGUAAAAGACUAGUGUUAUUCAUCUUUAAUAGGUUUAAAGGGUACCUAGACGGCCAAUCAAGCCCGAAAAGGGUACUAAUAGGCUAGAGUUUAAUAUAAGGAGGCAUAAAAGUACUGAGAAUGUUGAGAGAUGAAAUUCUGUGAUACUAUAUACGGCACUGGUAAAGGCGAAAGCAUCUUAUUAUGUAAAAACUGACGUUGAGGGACGAAGGCUGUGUAUAGCAAAAAGGAUUAGAUACCCAAGUAGUNUCAGCAGAAAAUGAUGAAUGUCAUAGGAUAGAAAAAUUUUGUACUAUAAAUGAAAGUGUAAGCAUUCCACCUUAAGAGUAAUUUGGCAACAUUGGAACUGAAAUCAUUAGACCGUUUNUGAAACAAGUAGUGAAGUAUGUUGUUUAAUUUGAUGG
Molecule: ribosomal RNA, 554 nt
Filed under: Tetramelas pulverulentus
Lineage: Eukaryota; Fungi; Ascomycota; Lecanoromycetes; Caliciales; Physciaceae
Description: mitochondrial SSU rRNA
Rfam family: Bacterial small subunit ribosomal RNA
Source: RNAcentral